GCAGCAGUGAGGAAUAUUGCGCAAUGGACGAAAGUCUGACGCAGCCAUGCCGCGUGCAGAUGACGCCCUACGGGGUGUAAACUGCUUUUAUACAGGAAGAAAACCAUGCUCGUGAGCGUGGUUGACGGUACUGUAGGAAUAAGCAUCGGCUAACUCCGUGCCAGCAGCCGCGGUAAUACGGAGGAUGCAAGCGUUAUCCGGGAUUUAUUGGGUUUAAAGGGUGCGUAGGCGGAAUAAUAAGUCAGUGGUGAAAUCUGCAGCUUAACUGUAGAACUGCCAUUGAUACUGUUAUUCUUGAAUAUAGUUGAGGUAGGCGGAAUGUGUAAUGUAGCGGUGAAAUGCAUAGAUAUUACACAGGACACCGAUUGCGUAGGCAGCUUACUAAGCUAUUAUUGACGCUCAGGCACGAAAGCGUGGGGAUCGAACAGGAUUAGAUACCCUGGUAGUCCACGCUGUAAACGAUGAUCACUAGCUGUUGGCGAUACACCGAUCAGCGGCAAAGCGAAAGCAUUAAGUGAUCCACCUGGGGAGUACGGUCGCAAGAUUGAAACUCAAAGGAAUUGACGGGGGCCCGCACAAGCGGAGGAACAUGUGGUUUAAUUCGAUGAUACGCGAGGAACCUUACCUGGGCUUAAAUGCAGGACGACGAAACGGGAAACCGUUUCUCUCUUCGGAGCGGACUGCAAGGUGCUGCAUGGUUGUCGUCAGCUCGUGCCGUGAGGUGUCGGGUUAAGUCCCAUAACGAGCGCAACCCCUAUCGUUAGUUGCCAGCGAGUCAAGUCGGGGACUCUAACGAAACUGCCGGUGUAAACCGAGAGGAAGGUGGGGAUGACGUCAAAUCAGCACGGCCCUUAUGUCCAGGGCUACACACGUGUUACAAUGGUCGGUACAGAGGGUAGCUACUAUGUAAAUAGAUGCCAAUCUCGAAAACCGGUCUUAGUUCGGAUCGAAGUCUGCAACUCGACUUCGUGAAGCUGGAUUCGCUAGUAAUCGCGCAUCAGCCACGGCGCGGUGAAUACGUUCCCGGGCCUUGUACACACCGCCCGUCAAGCCAUGGAAGCCGGGGGUACCUGAAGUCUGCAACCGCAAGGAGCGGCCU
RNAcentral lists this ribosomal RNA (1099 nucleotides) under uncultured Bacteroidota bacterium. Its description in RNAcentral is "bacterial SSU rRNA". It matches the Rfam family "Bacterial small subunit ribosomal RNA", at positions 348 to 1458 of the family's 1533-position model. Lineage: Bacteria; Pseudomonadati; Bacteroidota. The record is from RNAcentral.